GCCGGGUGUGGUGGCUCACGCCUGUAAUCCCAACACUUUGGGAGGCUGAGGCAGGUGGAUUGCCUGAGGUCAGGAGUUUGCAACCAGCCUGACCAACAUGGUGAAACCCUGUCUCUA
Molecule: non-coding RNA, 117 nt
Organism: Papio anubis (olive baboon)
Lineage: Eukaryota; Metazoa; Chordata; Mammalia; Primates; Cercopithecidae
Source: Rfam